AGUCGAGCGGUAGAGAGAAGCUUGCUUCUCUUGAGAGCGGCGGACGGGUGAGUAAUGCCUAGGAAUCUGCCUGGUAGUGGGGGAUAACGUUCGGAAACGGACGCUAAUACCGCAUACGUCCUACGGGAGAAAGCAGGGGACCUUCGGGCCUUGCGCUAUCAGAUGAGCCUAGGUCGGAUUAGCUAGUUGGUGAGGUAAUGGCUCACCAAGGCGACGAUCCGUAACUGGUCUGAGAGGAUGAUCAGUCACACUGGAACUGAGACACGGUCCAGACUCCUACGGGAGGCAGCAGUGGGGAAUAUUGGACAAUGGGCGAAAGCCUGAUCCAGCCAUGCCGCGUGUGUGAAGAAGGUCUUCGGAUUGUAAAGCACUUUAAGUUGGGAGGAAGGGCAGUUACCUAAUACGUGAUUGUUUUGACGUUACCGACAGAAUAAGCACCGGCUAACUCUGUGCCAGCAGCCGCGGUAAUACAGAGGGUGCAAGCGUUAAUCGGAAUUACUGGGCGUAAAGCGCGCGUAGGUGGUUUGUUAAGUUGGAUGUGAAAUCCCCGGGCUCAACCUGGGAACUGCAUUCAAAACUGACUGACUAGAGUGUGGUAGAGGGUGGUGGAAUUUCCUGUGUAGCGGUGAAAUGCGUAGAUAUAGGAAGGAACACCAGUGGCGAAGGCGACCACCUGGACCAACACUGACACUGAGGUGCGAAAGCGUGGGGAGCAAACAGGAUUAGAUACCCUGGUAGUCCACGCCGUAAACGAUGUCAACUAGCCGUUGGGAGCCUUGAGCUCUUAGUGGCGCAGCUAACGCAUUAAGU
Molecule: ribosomal RNA, 810 nt
Filed under: Pseudomonas sp. SOK68
Lineage: Bacteria; Pseudomonadati; Pseudomonadota; Gammaproteobacteria; Pseudomonadales; Pseudomonadaceae
Description: bacterial SSU rRNA
Rfam family: Bacterial small subunit ribosomal RNA
Source: RNAcentral